GAUGAACGCUGGCGGCGUGCUUAACACAUGCAAGUCGAACGGAAAGGCUCCUGCUUGCAGGGGUACUCGAGUGGCGAACGGGUGAGUAACACGUGGGUGAUCUGCCCUGCACUUCGGGAUAAGCCUGGGAAACUGGGUCUAAUACCGGAUAGGACGAUGGUUUGGAUGCCAUUGUGGAAAGUUUUUUCGGUGUGGGAUGAGCUCGCGGCCUAUCAGCUUGUUGGUGGGGUAAUGGCCUACCAAGGCGUCGACGGGUAGCCGGCCUGAAAGGGUGUACGGCCACAUUGGGACUGAGAUACGGCCCAGACUCCUACGGGAGGCAGCAGUGGGGAAUAUUGCACAAUGGGCGCAAGCCUGAUGCAGCGACGCCGCGUGGGGGAUGACGGCCUUCGGGUUGUAAACUCCUUUCGCUAGGGACGAAGCGCAAGUGACGGUACCUGGAGAAGAAGCACCGGCUAACUACGUG
This 466-nucleotide ribosomal RNA is filed under the name uncultured bacterium. RNAcentral's name for it is "partial 16S ribosomal RNA". It matches the Rfam family "Bacterial small subunit ribosomal RNA", at positions 28 to 507 of the family's 1533-position model. The record is from RNAcentral.